UACGAAGGGGACUAGCGUUGUUCGGAAUCACUGGGCGUAAAGCGCACGUAGGCGGAUUUGUAAGUCAGGGGUGAAAUCCCGGGGCUCAACCUCGGAACUGCCUUUGAUACUGCAAAUCUCGAGUCCGGAAGAGGUAAGUGGAAUUCCUAGUGUAGAGGUGAAAUUCGUAGAUAUUAGGAAGAACACCAGUGGCGAAGGCGGCUCACUGGUCCGGUACUGACGCUGAGGUGCGAAAGCGUGGGGAGCAAACAGG
RNAcentral lists this ribosomal RNA (253 nucleotides) under uncultured bacterium. RNAcentral's name for it is "partial 16S ribosomal RNA". It matches the Rfam family "Bacterial small subunit ribosomal RNA", at positions 524 to 776 of the family's 1533-position model. The record is from RNAcentral.